RNAcentral lists this unclassified non-coding RNA (209 nucleotides) under plant metagenome. RNAcentral describes it as "partial contains small subunit ribosomal RNA, internal transcribed spacer 1, and 5.8S ribosomal RNA". The record is from RNAcentral.
UUUCCGUGGGUGAACCUGCGGAAGGAUCAUUCAUAAUAAAGUGUUUUAUGGCACUUUUAAAAUCCAUAUCCACCUUGUGUGCAAUGUUAGAUCUCGUCAAUCUUGGCGAGAUUUUUAUACAUCAACUCAUUCUUUAACUAAUUUGUCUGAAAAAUAUUAUGAAUACUUAAUUCAAAAUACAACUUUCAACAACGGAUCUCUUGGCUCUC